UCAUUCAAGUGCAUCAAUGGAACUGUUUCUUCUGGUUUAGAAGGACUAUUGACUAUUGAUG
Molecule: non-coding RNA, 61 nt
Organism: Nematostella vectensis (starlet sea anemone)
Lineage: Eukaryota; Metazoa; Cnidaria; Anthozoa; Actiniaria; Edwardsiidae
Source: Rfam